Molecule: long non-coding RNA, 820 nt
Organism: Pipra filicauda (Wire-tailed manakin)
Lineage: Eukaryota; Metazoa; Chordata; Aves; Passeriformes; Pipridae
Exons: 3
Source: RefSeq, a predicted model, not a curated record
GCAGCACAAAGUUACUUGUUAAUGGCAUACAAGCAGAAAUAAUAUAUUAAUGGCUUUGAUCUCUCUAACCUCUGUUGGUCUUCUCUCAGUUCCCCCUAUUGGUCCCUUUGGGAUCUCCCUUUGUCUCUCUUCCUCAGCCUUACUCAGUGAAUGGCCUGUGCCAGCUCCAUCCAAGAACUGACGAAUCAACAUCCCAGCCGGCAGGAAGGACACGAAUAUGAAUCAUCCCCUCCCAGACCUCCAGACGACUUCUAUAUGACCAUGAUGCAGGGGACAACAAGUAUCUAUGUAAAUGAAGAUCAAGACAAACACCUCAAACUGAACAUCCAGACACAGCCAAGGCCCAUGAGAACAAAGGAGCCCAGAAGAGAGUCGCCUGUGGUGGAAUAUUUUUAUGAAAACCAUCCAGUCUCUAACUGAAAGAAAAGCACAAAAUUGUAUCUGGGGCCAGAAAUAACAACCAGAAAUAACAACAAGACACAACCCUUUUCCUGGACAUCAGGGGUCACACAGUUGCAGUUUAUGAACAAGAGAGUUUUCUUUUUGUGCCUACAUGAAAUUCUAUAGAGACUAAAAGUAAUUGGAUGGAGAAAGAACUUGUUUGCAAUCGUGCCUCUGAGAUGUAGAAGCAAAAUCAGAUUCCACUGGAGUACCCCAAGUUCUCUGAAAGAGAUGGUUUUGCUGUUCUCCUACAUUAAUUCAUUUUAAUAAAGAACAUCUAAAUCCCUGCAGUGAUACUGAUGGUAGAAAAGAGCAGCCAGAGAGUUGGUUGCAGUCCCAGGUAACUGAGUUCCUUUGCCUCAACCUUCAAAAAACAGGA